GAGCAGAGCGCUCAGCUGCAGACCAUGUGUAUAAAGGAAUUUAAGAAGUGAUAAAGAUGACCUACUUAAGAUUGGAUCCUGUGGCAGAUUCUAUUCCCAAAGAUGAUUGCGGCAUUCUCUCUUUUCCCCCCAAGGGCUUUCUACAAUGUGACUUUGACUGUUUUCCUACUGAGAGGUGGGGCAUAUGUUCCCUCCCCUUGAUUCUGGGCAGGUUUUGACUACAAUCGAAGUAACGCUAAGUGAAUUCUGAAGCUUGGGUGUAUGAAGUGGUACAGACUUUGCCUUUUGUUUUUGCCUUGGAACUCAGCCAUCAUAACGGGAGGAGGCCCAAACAGCCUGUGAUGAGUGAGGUGCAAGUGGAAAGGAACUGUGGCCGCCAGCCCUCAGCCUUAGCCAAACUCCCAGCUGCCAGCCAGCAGGAACCUGCCAGCCAUAAGUGAGCCAUCUUGAAAGCGCAUCCUUCAGCCCCAGUCAAGCCAUCUCAGCUGGCGCUGUGUGGCACAAAGAUGAACCAUCCUUGUUCAUCCCUACCUACAAUGCAGCAAAACUACAGUGCGUUGUUCCCAGGUUCACCUCUGGGAUGAGAUCUGGACGAGAAUAAUCAUGCCUGCCCCUUCACCUCUGGCCGCACUCUGAGAAGUGCCAAGAAGGUCAUAUCAAAGACCCAGAGGGGAGAGAUGGAGCUAAGUGGUUCCAAACAUUUAGAGCACGGAAUUGAGCUACUUUUUCAAAAUGGAGAAUGCAGAUACACACAGAGGCACACUGGAAAUGCAAUAGAACAACGGCUGCCAAUUUAAAAGCAGAAGUUAAGAAGAGCAAACCCGAAUGUACAGCGAGAGAGCUUCGGGCUGGAUUGGCUCCCGGCAGAAGCGAGACUGGAAAUCUUGGAUUCUGUUGCCUCUUCUCUCCUCUGUGAUGUGGAAGAAGAUGUCAGCACCUGGGUGUGGACUUGGUCAUUAACGCUUAUUUCCCAACCUUUGCCAAGCUGCCUAACUCCCUGGAGUCUUAGUUUUCUCAUGUGUGGGAGACAAUGUGUUCUUUAUCCUGAAGUCAUUGUGAGGACUGAGUGAGAGGAUGUAUGUGGAAGGAAGCACCAAGCGUGGUUCCUGGUAUAUACUAGGUACUCAAUAAAUGUGGACUAGCGUGAAUAUGAACUCCACUCACUUCGUGCCCCCUCAUGCUGGCUGGUCCCCGGUGCUCUGGGCUUCCCAAGUCAUGGCAGUUUUCCCAAAGUGGCCCCUAAAGUCAUGUCAGUCCUUGGGGCCUCAUUACUUAGGUUUCCUGUGCCAUCUGCUCCCUUCCAGUCAUAGAUUCCAUGCUCUGUUCUGACAGAAGCUUGCUUCUGCUGGCUGUCACACUUAAAAAGUGGCGGAUGACCAUUCGAGCGUUAGAUGAUAAUGAUUUAUGAACACCAUCCCUCCAGACAGCAUUUGCAGUAUUACAAGUUUUGCUUUUAUUUUAUUUGUCACUAGGAAGGCACUGAGAACAAAAGGAAACUCUCUCGAAUGGUGGGAUCGAGGCACUGUAGCACAUUUUUUAUGGAGGGGAAGGAGGCUUUUCGCCUGGAAACCUUUCAAAUCACGCCCUAUAAGUAGCUCACGAGUCUCUCUACUCACACUGAUCUCUUCAUCUGCUGAGUUGAACAGUGUCCCCCAAAUUCAUGGCCACCCGGGACCUGUGAAUGUGACCUUAUUUGGAAAUAGGGUCAUUGCAGAUAUACUCAAAUUAAGACGAGGCCAUAUUGGAUUAGGGGGAGCCCUAAAUUCAAUAUGACUGGAGUCUUUAUAAGAAGAGGAAAAUUUGGCCACAGAGAUAUAGACCUACGGGGUAUCAGGCCCUGUGAAGACAGAGUCAGACAUUGGAACGAGGUGUCAAGUCAAGGAUCAACAAGGAUUGCUGACAACCAGCGCAAGACGGAAGAGGCAAGGAAGGACUCUUCCUUAGAGACUUCAGAAGGAACAGGCCCUGCCAACACCUUGACUGUGGACUUCUAGCCUCCAGAACUUUGAGGGAAUAAAUUUCUGUUGUUUCAAGCUGCCCAGUCUGUGGUGCCCCAGGAAACUAACACUGUGACUCAGCAGGCUGUUUGCUGACUGUGCAGGAUUAGCCCAGUGGGUCCGGCAACUGGGAGGGGUCGCAGGGAGAUUUCGAUGGUAGGCAAGUGAUGAUGGAGUGGAGAGCACGAGGUGUGUGCUCUCCAACUGGAGGAAGGGCGUGUGUAGGCUGUGGGGAAGGACAGUAGGACAGAUGUUGCUGAGUGAGUGACUACCUCUGUUUAAAGAGAGAGCGCUUCGCUUUACAAAAGGAAUGCUCUCUUAAAAUACUCCACGUGAGCUAACUUGGCCUUGAAUUUCUAGGAGGGACUGAAGUUCGAAAGGAUCAAUGACAUUUCAAGACACUCUAAGUCUGUUUACAAAACGAAAAAUCUACUCCCCUUCCCAGUUGGGGAUAUUUUUUAUUUUGUAAGUGUCUAUCCUGAUGCUUGUGAAAGUGAGGGCUUCCUGAAAGGCAAGCGAGAGCCCAAGGAGGUUUGGGAGAGUGAAGGGAGGCCGACUUUUUCUCAUUUUUUACAGGGAAAAAAAAAAUCAUACAACUCUGCUAAUUUAAGAAUUUGAGAAUGAUCUCUUUAGACACGAUAAUUUAUUUCUGAAUGUUAAGGAAUGGAAUUUAGCAAGAAGAGCCUAUUGUGUGUCAAAAUAGAGGAGGUCCUUACUCCAUCAUUUGAAAUAGCAGAGAAAAACAUUGUUGUUGAACCAUCUACUCAAUAAACAUUUUCCAAGUGCCUGCUGCAUGGUAGACACUCCAUUGGGCACCCGGGGAGAAAGAUACCAAUAAUCUUGAUCCUGGCCCUCAAUGGCAUUGCGGAGGGGAUACACAGGCUUAUAAAUAUGUAAUAAUAGCAAUACUAAUGCUUCUGAAUGCCCACAAAAUGCCAGGCCCCAGGCCAAAUGCUUUACAGCCAAGAGAGCAUCAUUUAUUCCCCAACAACCCUGGAAGUAGGUUUUGUUACUGGUCCCAUUUUGCAGAUGAGGAAAUAGGCUUGGAGAGGCUGAGAAACUUGUCUAGUGUCAUUCAACUAACGAGGUGGGGAAGCUGCAAUUCACACCUGGGGCUGGGGCCCUAAAGGCUCCCCUCUUCACCACUUUGAGUGGCUGAGAUGUAGGUGUUGCAUGGCCUCAAGAGUCAGACUCCCUGGGAUUGACUCUCAUACCCAUCUGCUGCUAAUUGUGCCCUUGAACACAUUACCUCACUGCUUGGCUCCUCAGAGGAGGCUAAUGGCAGUACCCGCCUUGUAGGGUUGUCGUGAGAACUAAAUGAUCUCAUAUGAGCAAAGUGUUCAAUGCAGCACCUGACACGAUGGGGACCGUCAUGAAACAUCAGUUUUUGUUACUACAUGCUGGUGGGGCUACCGUGGGGGUGUAACCGGAGAGCUGAGGAGCAAGAGGAGCGCCCAGAUGAGGCUCUGCCCCCUCCUGCGUGGAGCUUUGGGUCUGGUCCAGGCUUGGAUCUCUUUUGAGUUCAAAGGGAGACUUGUGUGUGAGGGAAGCUUUGGGACUGUGGGUGGUGGGGGAGGCGAGGAGCAAACACCAGGGGAUUGACUUUCACAGAAUCUCAUUUAAAAAGUGAUAGCUAGUGGUUUCAGUCUAUUUAAGUGUAUUCCGCCAUAGUAUUUGCCAUAUCGACCACAAUCAAGGAGGUGGGAGUGGAGGUGUACAGGAAAGUUCCCUAGGCAAAAGUUCCUCCAGUUUGAGUAGGUUAGGGAAUUAAGGGUCUUUUCCAAAUACAAGUGCAUUUGGGAGCAGUAGGACAGUUGCUUCUGCUAGUUGGGAAUGUUUUACCUCAGAUCAUUUGAACACAUGAGUACCAGCAGAAAGCUGGGUUCUGAGAAAAUGGCAGGUAAAUUUACAGGAUAGGUAAAUUGAUGGGGACUGGGGUGAGUCUAAAGCUACCUGGUCCUGGUGGCAUUUUGAAGUGCAGAGGCUUGAACUUGAAUCGAGGGCUUGGCUAACCCCUAUGGAACCUUCAAACUUUGGCUCAAAUAUCACCUCCUCUAGGAAGCCUUCUCUGAUCCCCCCAGAGCUCCUCAUCUGUGCUCUCCUCCCACAAUCUGAACACCUCGAGUGCCGUGCUCGCGGUCCUUUGUUGGAGUGAUUCCUUGAGGAGGCGGCUCUCUUACUCCACCCCCCGUCGUACUUCUAUCAGCUUGGAAGCAGCACAUGACUGGAAAAACCGCAAACCUUUCUUGGAAGCAAAGUAAACCUGGCUGGCCUGGGUUCAGGAGAGGGAAGAGACAUUGAUUCAUCUUUCCUACCGUCCAAAAAAAGAAGAAGGAGAUCAAUGGAGCUUUGGCAAGAUCCGCUGGGAGGAGAAUCUGCACUGUCAAGGCCAACAGGGCCACCCAUUAUCUCCUUAACACGCUCUUCCAACAUGGUGGGCAAUUGGGGAAUUUUACACAAACGCUUCAGAUCAGCUGUAUUGUCUGGGGCCAGCUCUACCACCUGUGCCUGAGAUGUUGAAAAUGAUUCUUCUAAAUAUCUUCUCAGGCAGCUUUGGGAUGAUUUCCAACUUGAGAAAAGAAGUUGAGUGUAGAAAAUUGCCUUCUUCUUCUUCUUUUUUUUUUAAGGACAUACUAUUCCACGUUGGCGUAGACAGGCUGUAAAGGUAUAGAUUUUGUUUGAAAUUUCUCUUCAGUGGAGAAGAGCAUCCUUGCUCUGUGUUGGCAGAAAGAGUCCUUUCCUUAAUCUAAGCCAAGGCACAGCCACAAAGCCGGCCGACAGGGCUCACCCCUCUUUGCAGAUGGCUUCCUCCUCUGACUUGUUACUGUCACCUGAUUCUUUGAUGGAGACUAAAAAAAAAAAAAAGCCUGAAUGAAUUGGAGCUUUGGAGCCCCCACAUGGUGAACCACUAUAAGGGGGUACACAAUGCAGUGGUCGAGAGCGCGGACUCUAGAGUUGGACGGUCCUCUGUUUGAAUCUUAGCUUUGCCACUUACUGGACGUGCCACAUCAGGCCGGGAGGAUCUUGGCAUUUACCCAGAGAAACAUCCUAACUGUCCACAGCGGGGCGUGGUAAAGAACCGACAACGUGUCAGUCACUAGAAGGCGUCUUGGCCCCAGGAAAGCUAAGUAUUUGGAUGAUGAGGCAUAGAGUGGAUUUGGGCUUAUGUCUUUCAUCACUUGGCUGAGUCCUUUGUCAGAUGAAAAGGCAGCAGCUGAGGGCAUUAGUGAAACAAUCGUCGGCCUAAGCUCCCUGUGAGAGCUGCAGACUCAGGUGCAGAGGGCUGGCGGUCCAGGUGUGGGCUGGCUACGGCGGCAGCGAGCCUCAUCAACAUAGACCCACUGUGCUCGGAGUCCAUCUCCCGCUGGCCGUGGCCAAGAUGCAUCCUGGCUGCAUGCAGCCCCAGGGAAGGAUCCUCCAAAAGCAACAGGCCUUGGUCAGCAGUGAGCCAAGGAGGGACAAGCGAAGCAAAGAGGCCCCGGCAGGCCCCUGGUGACAGGGUUAUCUGGAGAGUCACUGACACGUCUCUAGUUGGCAAGAGCCCUUUAUAGAACAAAGACAAGUGAGGGUGAGGAAGCCACGCCUCAGUGUAUUCACAGACGAAGUCCGGCAUCCUGGUAUCACUUAUGUCAUCAGAAGUGCGUAGAUUCCAGGCUGUAGGGCUGUUUUUGUUCAAUAGGUGGAAACAAAGAUUCAUGAACCAUCUUGAAAUUGUUGCUGAAUUCAGGGGCGGAGGACAAUUUGGACUUCUUAUCCGAAGAUGGAACCCCCUGUUGAUUUUGUGGGCUUGGCUGUCUCAACGGCAGGCAGUGCGGGAGUAGAAGCAAGCCAGCGGCGGUGGCCACACCUCCGCUGGGUCGUGCCUUCGCAGCAGGCAUUCCUGCCAAGGUGGGAAAAUCUGAGAUGCUCCCCAGUGGGUGCAAAUAUGUGGGAGAAAAUUUAAUAGAAUUCCCCCCGGGUCCCUCUGGGAAGCGUGCUUCCUGCCUCCCUCUUUGUUUUGUUCUCAUUUUCAGUUCUUCUCCAUCCAACUAAAGUCUUUAUGUUGUUAAAAACGAAAUUAGAACCAAAAGGAAAAGGGGGAGCAGUUGUGGCCAGAGAUAACACUGAAAAAGGCAGCAAUCGGUGGCAGCAUCAGGUUUCCUAGCCAGAGUCAGAAUCCCUCAAAUAAAGAAGCAGAGAAGUCACCAGCAUCUCUGGUGCCUACAGGUGUGUCGGAGUAAAGCAGGGCUGCAGGCCCACGGAGUGGCCUUGAGCUUCCACCACAGGGGUGCCACUCAGACGCCAGGGACAUCCCAGCCUCCCUCCCCUGAACUCCUCCUCCUCUUCCCCUCCUUCAUGGGGGGUGGAGGAGGGCUGGGGGGCUCUGCUGCCCCCUUAGCACCCACCCCCAUGGUGUGAAUGCUCCCUUCCCCCAUUCUGGAAGGAUUUAUGCUCUUUGGAGGAGCAGGUUUUAAAACCAAAAGGGUUUUGGUGAUGUGUAGAACAAAUAAUGAGACCACAGCCUGCCACUUGGUGGAGGCUGGUGUGCUCCACACUUGUUGGCCAACGGGCUGGGGGGUGCAGUGGAGGCUCUGCCUGGGUCCUAAGUGAGUGAAGUAACCUCAGAGGAGUGAGGACCAAAGGGUAUACUGAGGUUUCCCUCACCAAGAGGCAAGUUCUGCAGGGUGAGGCCCUGGCUAAAACCUCUGAAACCCGUGGCGAGGCCUCGAAUUGGAGAGGCUUUUUCUGGUAGAGAGUUGUCCGGCCCACUCGAAUGGGCUCUGUCCAAAAGCCAUCUGAGCACUUGCUUUAAUGCUGACGUAAGGAAGUGAUUAUGACUGGAAACUUGAACUUGGAAUGUGGCCUCUUCAGGCCCUGGGGUACUUCUAGUGCCCCUUACUGGGUAAAAUGGGCUUUCCCAGCUUCAUGGGCAGCCCCACUGUGGAGUGGGGAGAGAAUGUAGCUGGGAAGCGUGAGUGGUAGGCCCAGCUCCGUCGGUCACCACGGUCGGUCACCACCAUGUGACUUGGGACAACUUCACUCAGCAUCUCAGGGCCUCAUAUGAGCCUCUCAACUCUUUCCACCUCACGAAAUUUUAUGUAAUCAAGUGUGUUAUUAAUUUGGUGUACUUCUUUUGCCAUAGUUUAUGUAGACGGGAAGUAGAGUUGUGCUAAAAAGAAACCCAGCGAAGCCAAAACACGCAUACACAAAACCCC
Molecule: long non-coding RNA, 7192 nt
Filed under: Equus caballus (horse)
Lineage: Eukaryota; Metazoa; Chordata; Mammalia; Perissodactyla; Equidae
Description: lncRNA (ENSECAG00000052749.1)
Source: RNAcentral